GCUCAGUAACACGUGGACAACGUACCCUAAARUGRAGCAUAAUCUCGGGAAACUGAGGAUAAUUCUCCAUAGACCWUGARAUCUGGAAUGACUUAUGGUUCAAAGUUCCGGCGCUUUAGGAUCGGUCUGCGGCCUAUCAGGUAGUAGUGGGUGUAACGUACCCCCUAGCCGUUGACGGGUAUGGGCCUUGAGAGAGGGAGCCCAGAGUUGGAUUCUGAGACACGAAUCCAGGCCCUACGGGGCGCAGCAGUCGCGAAAACUUCACAAUGGGCGAAAGCCCGAUGAGGGAAUUCCUAGUGCUAGCACUUUUGUGCUAGCUUUUCUUCAGCGUAGAUAACUGGAGGAAUAAGGGCUGGGUAAGACGGGUGCCAGCCGCCGCGGUAAUACCCGCAGCCCGAGUGGUGGUCGAUUUUAUUGAGUCUAAAACGUUCGUAGCCGGUCUAAUAAAUCCUUGGGUAAAUCGGAAGGCUUAACUUUCCGAAUUCCGAGGAGACUGUUAGGCUUGGGAUCGGGAGAGGUAAGAGGUACUUCAGGGGUAGGGGUAAAAUCCUGUAAUCCUUGGAGGACCACCGGUGGCGAAGGCGUCUUACUAGAACGAAUCCGACGGUGAGGGACGAAGCCCUAGGUCGCAAACGGGAUUAGAUACCCCGGUAGUCUAGGGUGUAAACGCUGCAGACUUGGUGUUGGGGGCCCUUCGGGGGCAUUCAGUGCCGGAGAGAAGUUGUUAAGUCUGCUACUUGGGGAGUACGUCCGCA
This 755-nucleotide ribosomal RNA is filed under the name uncultured archaeon. RNAcentral's name for it is "bacterial SSU rRNA". It matches the Rfam family "Archaeal small subunit ribosomal RNA", at positions 88 to 845 of the family's 1478-position model. The record is from RNAcentral.